GAUGAACGCUGGCGGCGUGCCUAAUACAUGCAAGUCGAGCGAACAGAUGAGGAGCUUGCUCCUCUGACGUUAGCGGCGGACGGGUGAGUAACACGUGGAUAACCUACCUAUAAGACUGGGAUAACUUCGGGAAACCGGAGCUAAUACCGGAUAAUAUAUUGAACCGCAUGGUUCAAUAGUGAAAGACGGUUUUGCUGUCACUUAUAGAUGGAUCCGCGCCGCAUUAGCUAGUUGGUAAGGUAACGGCUUACCAAGGCAACGAUGCGUAGCCGACCUGAGAGGGUGAUCGGCCACACUGGAACUGUGACACGGUCCAGACUCCUACGGGAGGCAGCAGUAGGGAAUCUUCCGCAAUGGGCGAAAGCCUGACGGAGCAAUGCCGCGUGAGUGAUGAAGGUCUUCGGAUCGUAAAACUCUGUUAUUAGGGAAGAACAAAUGUGUAAGUAACUAUGCACGUCUUGACGGUACUUAAUCAGAAAGCCACGGCUAACUACGUG
This 497-nucleotide ribosomal RNA is filed under the name uncultured bacterium. Its description in RNAcentral is "partial 16S ribosomal RNA". It matches the Rfam family "Bacterial small subunit ribosomal RNA", at positions 28 to 507 of the family's 1533-position model. The record is from RNAcentral.